RNAcentral lists this ribosomal RNA (2727 nucleotides) under Triticum aestivum (bread wheat). RNAcentral's name for it is "partial small subunit ribosomal RNA". Lineage: Eukaryota; Viridiplantae; Streptophyta; Magnoliopsida; Poales; Poaceae. The record is from RNAcentral.
AUGGCGGCCGUGGCGCCUACCCACGACAACCUCGACCCCCCGCCGUCCACUCCUCCAAACACGGCAACCCCACCUCAGGCCACCGCCACGUCCACCCCGCCGAACCCGGCAACCCCUAAUCCCCCGGCCUCCAAUCCCACGAUGUCAAGCCCUAACCCUAACCCCGUCCCCGCCCCCGCCCCCGCCCCUCCGGUCGUCCUGCCGCCGAUGCCCCCUGCUCCGGUAUCCUUCGCCCCUUCCUUCCGGCCGCUGGGUGCACCGCCCCCGCCGCAGGUGCAGCAGUACGGUGCUAUACGUAAUCCGGGCUACCUGAUGGGACAGCCGAUGCAGCCGCCAGGCGUGCACCACGUGAUGCGUCCGCCGAACAUGUACGCGCCCCAGCCGGGUCCGUACAUGCAGCAGCCGGGCGUCGCCGUUCCUCCCGAUGUUUGUUUGUUUCUCUCUUCAGGUGUGCAUCGUUAUCCUGGACCAUACACUAUGAUGCGUCCAUGUUUUCCUCCACGCCCAAUGCCUCCUGUUGGUGUUGUGCAAGUUCAACGGCCAGCAACAAUUCCUGGAAUUCGUGGUGCUCCUCCUAUGGUAGCCCCUCCUGCCAGACCGCCUGCUCCAGCUGUCACACCCGUUGACAAACCACCAACUGCAGUUUAUGUCGGGAAGAUCGCCCCAACAGUGGACAAUGGUUUGCUUCUUUCACUUCUUCGGAUUUGUGGACCUGUCAAGAGUUGGAAGCGCACCCAAAAUCCAAGUAAUGGCAAACCAGUAGCGUUUGGCUUUUGUGAGUUUGAAUCUGCUGAAGGCAUCCUUCGUGCGACGCGGUUGCUGAACAGAUUGAGCGUUGAUGGGCAAGAACUGGUGGUUAAUAUUAAUGAUGCCACCAAAGAGUACCUGAAGAAACAUGUUGAAGAAAAGAAGAAGGUACAUGAGAACACCAAAAAGGAGGAAGAUGAAGGUGGGGAUGGGACUUCUGCUGUUGCUGAAAAUGAAUCAUUGAAGCUUGUUUCUGGUAAAACAGAUGAAACAGAAGAUUCCGGAGAUAAGGAUAGUGAAGAAAACACCAAGAAAUUUGGGAUUGUUACAAAUGAAGAUUCUGAGGCUGAUAAGGCUGCUGCAGAACUAAUAAACAGUAUUAUUGAAGAGUGGUUAAAGACUCGACCCCUGCCGCCGCCACCACCACCCCCGCCGGUUCAACCAUCUGCUGACAUCUCAUCCAAACAUAAUAACGGGGAGUCUGUUGUCGACAUGGCAAUGACUGAUUCUGAAGAUAAUGAUGAUUGUGUUGACAAAAAGACAGUUAGUGAAACUGAAAAGACAGAAAAUGACUCUCUUGAUAGGAGGAAAGAUAAAGAGCAUGAUAAGGAGAAGCAGGAAAAGGAAAAAGAACUUCAAAGAUAUGAGCGUGAGCGUGAGCGAGAAAGAGUCAGGAGGGAUAGAGAUAAAGAACUCAAGCAUAGAGAAGUGGAAAGGCUGUACAAAGAUCACCUUAAAGAGUGGGAAUCCAGGGAGAGAGAUAAAGAAUAUCAAAGACAAUAUGAGAAGGACCGUGAGAAGGAAAAAGAACGUGAACGCAAAAGGGAGAUCAUGAAGCAGGAAGAUGAAAGCGACGAAGAGGAUUCGAGGAAAAGAAGACGGAGGAGCAGUAACGCACUUGAAGAGAGGAAAAGGCGGAGGCAACGCGAAAAGCAGGAAGACUUGGCGGACAAAUUAAAAGAGGAACAGGAAAUUGCUGAAGCAAGGAGGCGUGCAAUAGAGCUGCAACAGCAGGCAGAUGAAGCAGCUGCGGCAGAGUCUGCUAUAUUUAUGGAGGUUGAUGGUGAUGACCGGAAGGAAGCAGAUGCACCAAACAAGCCGAUUGUUUCAGAUGAUGAUAAUGUUGUCAGCAUUGCUAAUGGUGUUGAUGCAGAUGAUGGCAAAACUCAUAAGGACUGUAACGGUGAUGAAGCAAGUAUGGUACCUGGUCAAAUUCUAGAUAUCAAACAAAAUAGCAAUGCUCCAGCAAAAAAGUUGGGUUUUGGUUUGAUUGGCUCUGGUAAACGGACAUCUGUUCCAUCAGUUUUUGCUGAAGAGGAUGACGAUGAUAAUAAGGAUAAACGGAUAAGACCUUUAGUACCUAUUGAUUACUCCACUGAGGAAUUGCAAGCUGUGGAGGCGGAUUCUUAUUCUGACCAACCUAAUAAUAUUGUAGCAGCUGCUGAGUUUGCUAAGCGCAUCUUGGUAUCUAAUCAAAAGGAAGAGCAGCCUGAAACCGAAAGGAGUAGGAGAGCCAUUGAUAGAUCGACCCUAAGGGAUAAAAGUCGAAAUGAUGAAGAUGGUGCACGUCUUGGUGAUGACAGAAGAGAAAUGAUGCAUGAUCGAGACGAUGAUAAGCCCAAGUUAGAGAACAAGAAAGUUUUGGAUGCAAAACAAUUGAUUGACAUGAUUCCGAGGACAAAGGAAGAGCUUUUUUCCUAUGAUAUUAAUUGGGCAAUAUAUGAGAAGCAUGAGUUGCAUGAUAGAAUGAGGCCUUGGAUCUCGAAAAAGAUAAUUGAAUUUCUUGGUGAGGAGGAAUCGACUUUGGUGGAAUAUAUUGUCUCGUGCACCAAAGAUCAUGUCCAUGCAUCGAAAAUGCUGGAGCUCCUAUCGUCGAUUUUGGACGUCGAGGCUGAAAUGUUUGUCCUUAAGAUGUGGAGGAUGCUAAUAUUUGAAAUUAAGAAAGUUGAAGCAGGACUAUCAGUAAGAGGGAAGGCUUAA